GUAGGGAAUAUUGCACAAUGGAGGAAACUCUGAUGCAGCGACGCCGCGUGAGUGAUGAAGGCCUUCGGGUCGUAAAACUCUGUGAUAAGGGAAGAUGAUGACGGUACCUUAUCAGAAAAGACCGGCUAACUUCGUGCCAGCAGCCGCGGCAAUACGAGGGGUCUAAGCGUUGUUCGUAAUCACUGGGCGUAAAGCGGGUGUAGGUGGCUAUGCAAGUUGGAUGUGAAAGCCACGGGCUCAACCCGGGAAGUGCAUCCAAAAAUACGUAGCUUGAGUGCGGGAGAGAAAGGCAAAAUUCCUGGUGUAGUGGUGAAAUACGUAGAUAUCAGGAGGAACUCCGGUGGCGAAGGCGGCCUUUUGGCGCAGCACUGACACUCAGACCCGAAAGCGUGGGUAGCAAACAGGAUUAGAAACCCUGGUAGUCC
RNAcentral lists this ribosomal RNA (425 nucleotides) under uncultured bacterium. Its description in RNAcentral is "partial 16S ribosomal RNA". It matches the Rfam family "Bacterial small subunit ribosomal RNA", at positions 354 to 796 of the family's 1533-position model. The record is from RNAcentral.